GACGAACGCUGGCGGCGUGCUUAAUACAUGCAAGUCGAACGGAAAGGCCCUGCCUUUGUGGGGUGCUCGAGUGGCGAACGGGUGAGUAAUACGUGAGUAACCUGCCCACGAAUUUGGGAUAACUCCAGGAAACUGGGGCCAAUACCGGAUAGGAGCAUCUGAUGCAUGGUGGGGGUUGGAAAGUUUCGGCGGUUGGGGAUGGACUCGCUGCUUAUCAGCUUGUUGGUGGGGUAGUGGCUUACCAAGGCGUUGAUGGGUAGUCGGCCUGAGAGGGUGACCGGCCACAGUGGGACUGAGAUACGGCCGGGAGCACUACGGGAGUCAGGAGUGGGGAAUAUAGCACGAUGGGCGGAAGCCUGAUGCAGGAACGCCGCGUUCGGGAUGUCGGGCUUCGGUGUGAAGGCCGCUUUCUCCUGAGACGAAGCGUAAGUGACGGUAAUUGGUAAGAAAGCACCGGCUAACUACGUG
Molecule: ribosomal RNA, 468 nt
Filed under: uncultured bacterium
Lineage: Bacteria
Description: partial 16S ribosomal RNA
Rfam family: Bacterial small subunit ribosomal RNA
Source: RNAcentral